UUUUGUUUGAAUGUGUGUGGUAAAACCACUAAAUGUUAGGCUCUCAUGAAUUUGUGAGGUAAAUCUAGUACAGGUGAGCGUGUGAAUGUGUGAUGUACAACUAAAAAUGUUAGCAUUUUGUGUGUAUGUGUGAGGUAAAACUAAGAGAGGUUAGCUUUUAGUGUGAAUGUGUGAGGUAUAACUAGUAAAUGUGAGCAUUUUAUAUGAAUGUGUGAGGUAAAACUAAGAGGUUCACUUUAAUUGUGAAUGUGUGAGGUUUAACUAGUAAAUAUGAGCAUUUUAUAUGAAUGAGUGAGGUAAAACUAGUAAAUGUGAGCCUUUUAUAUGAAUGAGUGAGGUAAAACUAGUAAAUGUGAGCCUCUUGUGUGAAUGAGUGAGGUAAAACUAGUAAAUGUGAGUCUUUUAUAUGAAUGUGUGAGGUAAAACUAGUAAAUGUGAGCCUUUUAUAUGAAUGUGUGAGGUAGAACUAGUAAAUGUGAGCCUUUUGUAUGAAUGCGUGAGGUAAAACUAGUAAAUGUGAACCUUUUAUAUGAAUGCGUGAGGUAAAAUUUGUAAAUGUGAGCCUUUUAUAUGAAUGUGUGAGGUAAAACUAGUAAAUGUGAGCCUUUUGUAUGAAUGGGUGAGGUAAAAAUUAUAAAUGUGAGCCUUUUAUAUGAAUGUGUGAGGUAGAACUAGUAAAUGUGAGCCUUUUAUAUGAAUGAGGUAGAACUAGUAAAUGUGAGCCUUUUGUAUGAAUGUGUGAGGUAAAACUAGUAAAUGUGAGCCUUUUGUAUGAAUGGGUGAGGUAAAAUUUAUAAAUGUGAGCCUUUUAUAUGAAUGUGUGAGGUAUAACUAGUAAAUGUGAGCCUUUUGUAUGAAUGGGUGAGGUAAAAAUUAUGAAUGUGAGGUAAAACUAGUAAAUGUGAGCCUUUUAUAUGAAUGAGUGAGGUAGAACUAGUAAAUGUGAGCCUUUUGUAUGAAUGUGUGAGGUAGAACUAGUAAAUGUGAGCUUUUUAUUUGAAGUGAAACAGUAAUGAGGUCAAAUCUUAAUCAACUUCAGGGUGGUAGGAAUUUCACAAAGAAGCAUUUUCCAAAACUUCUUUGUUACAAAAACAAAUUUCUUAAAGCUAGCAUGACUGCAAACUGGCCAAACACGGGCAGUGACAUUCUGACAUUUUGCCCAUGAUGUCUGUGUGUGUGUCUGGUUAAGUAACGGGUUGGCGAAAUGGAUCAAUUGAAGAGUGACUCAGUUCCAUCCCGAGGUCUUCAGGUUACUUCCUGGAAACGUUGAGUGGACAUUCCACUCCGAUAAAGACACCUCCUGGUUACACACACGCACAACCGAGCUGAGUUAUUUAUGCAUGGACAGUAUUAGAGUUCACCAAAGGCAGGCCAAAAUCGCCUCAUCAUGAUGUUAACACUUGGACUGUGUGUGUGUCAGAGUGAAGGAAAUAGUGCUGUGUAGUGUGCAUUCAGCAGUUCUUUUCCAUUCAUAUAGACAAGGUGAAAUGAAUGAAAAAGGAAUCUGUGACUCUCAAAGAAAACCCGAAUCCCCAAAAAAUGGUGCUUCGUUGUUUACAGAAUUCAUCCACAAAUUAAUAAUAGUUUUAUGGUUAAGAUCACAAAUCGGUCAAUAAUGGAUCCUAG
This is a long non-coding RNA of Ictalurus punctatus (channel catfish), 1626 nucleotides long. The record is from Ensembl. Lineage: Eukaryota; Metazoa; Chordata; Actinopteri; Siluriformes; Ictaluridae.